Molecule: transfer RNA, 75 nt
Filed under: Marinobacter sp.
Lineage: Bacteria; Pseudomonadati; Pseudomonadota; Gammaproteobacteria; Pseudomonadales; Marinobacteraceae
Description: tRNA-Ile
Rfam family: tRNA
About the family: Transfer RNA (tRNA) molecules are approximately 80 nucleotides in length. Their secondary structure includes four short double-helical elements and three loops (D, anti-codon, and T loops).
Source: RNAcentral
UGGAUCGUAGCUUAAUCCGGUAAAAGCACUCCCCUGAUAAGGGAGAGACUCUCGGUUCGAAUCCGGGCGGUCCUA